AGAGUUUGAUCCGUGGCUCAGAGUGAACGCUGGCGGCAGGCCUAAUACAUGCAAGUCGAACGGCAGCACAGCAGAGCUUGCUCUGUGGGUGGCGAGUGGCGGACGGGUGAGGAAUACGUGGGAAUCUGCCCAGUCGUGGGGAUAACGUAGGGAAACUUACGCUAAUACCGCAUGCGCCCUUCGGGGGAAAGCCGGGGACCUUCGGGCCUGGCGCGAUUGGAUGAGCCCACGUCGGAUUAGCUAGUUGGCGGGGUAAAGGCCCACCAAGGCGACGAUCCGUAGCUGGUCUGAGAGGAUGAUCAGCCACACUGGAACUGAGACACGGUCCAGACUCCUACGGGAGGCAGCAGUAGGGAAUAUUGGACAAUGGGCGCAAGCCUGAUCCAGCCAUGCCGCGUGAGUGAAGAAGGCCCUCGGGUUGUAAAGCUCUUUUGUCCGGAAAGAAAAGCGCCGGGUUAAUACCCUGGUGUCCUGACGGUACCGGAAGAAUAAGCACCGGCUAACUUCGUG
Molecule: ribosomal RNA, 510 nt
Filed under: uncultured bacterium
Lineage: Bacteria
Description: bacterial SSU rRNA
Rfam family: Bacterial small subunit ribosomal RNA
Source: RNAcentral